AUCUCAGUGAAGAGCUCUUGACCAGGAAGUGCCGUAUGACACUGUAAACAACAGCUGCUUCUAUGGCGCUGCAAGUGUCCAUCGUUGAUCAUAACCUCUGUGGUUUGGUCUUGGAUGGGAUACCAUUUGCAUCGGCUUGAUUCAGCUGUGUGCGUGAUUUUAAACGGGUCUCUGAGGGAU
Small nucleolar RNA from Lolium rigidum, 180 nucleotides. RefSeq annotates it as small nucleolar RNA Z112. NCBI's taxonomy places the organism in Eukaryota, Viridiplantae, Streptophyta, Magnoliopsida, Poales, Poaceae. The record is from RefSeq and is a predicted model, not a curated record. The transcript has a single exon.